GGGGGUAUAGCUCAGUGGUGGGGCGCUUGUCUAGCAUGCAUGAAGCCUUGGAUUCAAUCCUCAAUACCAUCA
Molecule: transfer RNA, 72 nt
Filed under: Fukomys damarensis (Damara mole-rat)
Lineage: Eukaryota; Metazoa; Chordata; Mammalia; Rodentia; Bathyergidae
Rfam family: tRNA
About the family: Transfer RNA (tRNA) molecules are approximately 80 nucleotides in length. Their secondary structure includes four short double-helical elements and three loops (D, anti-codon, and T loops). Further hydrogen bonds mediate the characteristic L-shaped molecular structure. tRNAs have two regions of fundamental functional importance: the anti-codon, which is responsible for specific mRNA codon recognition, and the 3' end, to which the tRNAs corresponding amino acid is attached (by aminoacyl-tRNA synthetases). tRNAs cope with the degeneracy of the genetic code in two manners: having more than one tRNA (with a specific anti-codon) for a particular amino acid; and 'wobble' base-pairing, i.e. permitting non-standard base-pairing at the 3rd anti-codon position.
Source: Rfam by way of RNAcentral